CGUAUUCGACCUGAGCUCAGG
RNAcentral lists this ribosomal RNA (21 nucleotides) under Desmodesmus hystrix. RNAcentral's name for it is "partial 26S ribosomal RNA". The record is from RNAcentral. Lineage: Eukaryota; Viridiplantae; Chlorophyta; Chlorophyceae; Sphaeropleales; Scenedesmaceae.